Molecule: ribosomal RNA, 376 nt
Filed under: uncultured bacterium
Lineage: Bacteria
Description: bacterial SSU rRNA
Rfam family: Bacterial small subunit ribosomal RNA
Source: RNAcentral
UAAGACGAACCGUGCGAACGUUGUUCGGAUUCACUGGGCUUAAAGGGCGCGUAGGCGGAUUCGUAAGUUCGGGGUGAAAUCUUUCGGCUCAACCGGAAAAGUGCCUCGGAUACUGCGAGUCUGGAGGGAGGUAGGGGCCGCGGGAACUUCCGGUGGAGCGGUGAAAUGCGUUGAUAUCGGAAGGAACGCCGGUGGCGAAAGCGCGCGGCUGGUCCUCUUCUGACGCUGAGGCGCGAAAGCUAGGGGAGCAAACGGGAUUAGAUACCCCGGUAGUCCUAGCCCUAAACGAUGGGCACUAGAUAGUGGACUUAUCAUGGGUUCACUGUCGAAGCAAAAGUGCUAAGUGCCCCGCCUGGGGAGUAUGGUCGCAAGGCUG